AGCAAUACCGCGUGAGGGAGGAAGGCUCUUGGGUCGUAAACCUCUUUUCUCAAGGAAGAAGAAAGUGACGGUACUUGAGGAAUAAGCAUCGGCUAACUCCGUGCCAGCAGCCGCGGUAAUACGGAGGAUGCAAGCGUUAUCCGGAAUGAUUGGGCGUAAAGGGUCUGCAGGUGGAACUGAAAGUCUGCUGUUAAAGAGUUUGGCUUAACCAAAUAAAAGCGGUGGAAACUACAGAACUAGAGUGCGGUAGGGGCAAAAGGAAUUCCUGGUGUAGCGGUGAAAUGCGUAGAUAUCAGGAAGAACACCGGUGGCGAAAGCGUUUUGCUAGACCGUAACUGACACUGAGGGACGAAAGCUAGGGGAGCGAAUGGGAUUAGAUACCCCAGUAGUCCUAGCCGUAAACGAUGGAUACUAGGCGUGGCUUGUAUCGACCCGAGCCGUGCCGGAGCUAACGCGUUAAGUAUCCCGCCUGGGGAGUACGCACGCAAGUGUGAAACUCAAAGGAAUUGACGGGGGCCCGCACAAGCGGUGGAGUAUGUGGUUUAAUUCGAUGCAACGCGAAGAACCUUACCAAGACUUGACAUCCUGCGAAUCCCGGUGAAAGCUGGGAGUGCCUUAGGGAGCGCAGAGACAGGUGGUGCAUGGCUGUCGUCAGCUCGUGUCGUGAGAUGUUGGGUUAAGUCCCGCAACGAGCGCAACCCUCGUUUUUAGUUGCCAGCAUUAAGUUGGGCACUCUAGAGAGACUGCCGGUGACAAACCGGAGGAAGGUGGGGAUGACGUCAAGUCAGCAUGCCCCUUACGUCUUGGGCUACACACGUACUACAAUGCUACGGACAGAGGGCAGCGAGCCAGGGAUGGCAAGCGAAUCCAGAAACCGUAGCUCAGUUCAGAUCGAAGGCUGCAACUCGCCUUCGUGAAGGAGGAAUCGCUA
Molecule: ribosomal RNA, 931 nt
Filed under: Cylindrospermopsis raciborskii UFMG36
Lineage: Bacteria; Bacillati; Cyanobacteriota; Cyanophyceae; Nostocales; Aphanizomenonaceae
Description: bacterial SSU rRNA
Rfam family: Bacterial small subunit ribosomal RNA
Source: RNAcentral